UCACUACUUGCGUAGGCAGUCUCUUUAGAGUGCUCGGCAUCACCCGGUGGCAACUAAAGACAAGGGUUGCGCUCGUUGCGGGACUUAACCCAACACCUCACGGCACGAGCUGACGACAGCCAUGCAGCACCUGUACAAAUUCCCCUUGCGGGACACGAACUUUCAUUCGCUUUAAUUUGCGUUUCAAGCCUAGGUAAGGUUCUUCGCGUUGCAUCGAAUUGAACCACAUGCUCCACUGCUUGUGCGGGCCCCCGUCAAUUCCUUUGAGUUUCAACCUUGCGAUCGUACUCCCCAGGUGGAAUACUUAAUGCGUUAGCUGCGACACUGAGUUUUAACACCCAACGUCUAGUAUUCAUCGUUUAGGGCAUGGACUAC
RNAcentral lists this unclassified non-coding RNA (375 nucleotides) under uncultured Ignavibacteria bacterium. RNAcentral's name for it is "contains 16S-23S intergenic spacer region". Lineage: Bacteria; Pseudomonadati; Ignavibacteriota; Ignavibacteria. The record is from RNAcentral.